Molecule: long non-coding RNA, 2187 nt
Organism: Macadamia integrifolia
Lineage: Eukaryota; Viridiplantae; Streptophyta; Magnoliopsida; Proteales; Proteaceae
Exons: 3
Source: RefSeq, a predicted model, not a curated record
UGAAAAGGCGACACUGAGGCUGCCAGGGCAGAGGCUUGUGGUGAUGAAGGUUCAAAGGCUGGUGGUGACGAAGGUCUAGACACAUCAUUUGGGCCAAACUGAGACGCAAGCAAGAUUUUGGGCACCCUUCUUGUUACAACCCUGGACAGCAUGAGGAAACGGUAUGAAUUCUUGAUGGUAGUGAUACGAGUUCCCAAUGACAAAGAAUCUGCUGAUUCUAAUGAGGACAAGGUGGCCCUUGAUGAAGUGGCAUUCCUCAACGGUUCAGGAUUCCCAUGCCCAAUCUUUCCUGUGAAGCUCUCGACCACUAGGGGUUAGCCCCUAAUCAAUUAAUGGCGAACUCCUGGAGGAUCCUAUUAGGGUUUGACGUCUUUGUCUCAAAGCUAAAGUGUGACGCAACCCUUGGAACCUUCUGCCAUUAUUUUCAUUCUGAAAAAACUUGGUAUGCGUUGGUACUACUUUACCCUUCGAGACAAGAAGAAACCCUAUUGGCCGUCCAGUUUUUCAGUCAUAUGCCCACUUUAGUGAAGAAUUGGAACAACCGAUUUCUCUUUGCUGCCAUACCGGGUAACCUCUUCAAGACCGUCUAGUUCAAGCCCUCCCUCAAGAUACUUUAUCGAGCCCCCACUCUUAGUGAGGAAGAGUAUCAGACGGUCCAAAUGUGCCUGGAUGGAGAGGUCGUGGAAGUCCGGAUGCUUUAGGAGGACUUCCUGUGAGAGUGGGGCCUCAGUGAGGUCUCGAAAGAGGGUGAGGGUCCCUGGCUCGGCAUAGCUUCAUUGGUUGAUGUUCAGUUGGAAAAGAAGAAACUUGCGGUUGUGGAAGCUCAGAGGGCUAAGGUAGCUAAGCAGGCUACUAAGAGAGCCGAAGACAAGGUAGUUGAGAAGGCUAAGCAGUCAGGUGCUCAUGCCUAAGCCCAAGUAGGUGAGAAGAACAAGCAAGUGAGUGCCACUGCUUUGGCUCAGACAGGAGAGAAGGCCCUAUCGACGACAGGGGUGGCUAAGGAACAUCCUUUAGAGAAGGAGCUGACCCAGGUAUAGGGUCUGGACAAAGGGAAGGGCCACAUUGGACCUCCCCUAGAUCAAGGGAUGAAGGAAAGAGGUUCUCCCUACAGACGACUUCUCCUUAACCACUCAAUCAACUUGCUAGUCAAGGUCAAGAGGGUCGCAAGAGAAGGAGGGAAGAAGAAUCAUCCCUGGGUAAUGUUGCUGCCAUCCCACCUAGGGGUCCUUGCGGCUCGGGAAAGAGGGUCCCUCCUCCAGCUUGGAAUUUGCUGGAGGAUGACUACUCCAUAGCGGAUAAAGUGGUGGCCUGAACCUGGGGCAAGCUGGGCCGACUUCGUCCUUACAGUGAAAGAGUCAAGGCACUUCAGGAUAUUCUACUUUGCAGAUAAUGUCUACCAGCGGAUCUCUGAUGGUUUCAACUGGUCGAUUGAAGUGGCUAAUCGACUUGAGAGGAUGGUUGUAAAGAAGCAAAAGGUUGAGCUGAGGUGUAGCAGUUGCGGGAUCAGUUGGCACAAGUCCGUGGUCAAUUGGAUGUAGCUGGAUAGCAAUGCCGAGACGAGGAAGUUAAGGCCACUACAACCGGGAAAGGUUAGCACAACUGGGUGCAGAGGUGAGAAAGCAACUAUUUGCGCACAACGGCCUCAUACAAGUUAAGCAGCGUCUUCAAGGGGAGGGUAGAGUUCUAAGAGGAGUUGCAAAAGAGGAGUGUAGCUCACCAACUUCCCAUCCAGACCCUGAAUAAGCAGCACCAGGCCGAGCUGAAGGAGGCUGGGGACAAAGCUAUCGAGGUUAACCUCAACUCCAAAAAUUGCUAGGCCUGGCUCCUCAGUCUCAACACCUCCUCCUCCUUUAACGAGGGGUCCGAUGCCGUUGUGAACUUCAUCCUGAAAAAGUACCCCUGCCUUGACCUGAGCGAUUAUGAGCACUUUUUGCCACCCCCUGAAUCGUUGGUCCAACAACUCGACAAUAUGGCUGAGGAGGUGGGAGAAGAGGUGAACCAAGAGAAGACGACCACGCCCUUUUCUAUGAAGGAUAAGGAUAUCCGUGCGGCUCCAUGACUGUCUCCCUUAGCUUUCUUUUUGUCUUUGUUAUUGUGCCCCUUUUGGGCAUUGAUGUAAGGUUUUGUGUUUACUCCCCACUUUCUUUUUUUUUUAACCUGGCCUUCUUUGGGUGUGCUUGUAAAGAA